GACGAACGCUGGCGGCGUGCUUAACACAUGCAAGUCGUACGGUAAGGCCCUUUCGGGGGUACACGAGUGGCGAACGGGUGAGUAACACGUGAGUAACCUGCCCACAACUUUGGGAUAACGCUAGGAAACUGGUGCUAAUACUGGAGAUGUGCUCCUGCUGCAUGGUGGGGGUUGGAAAGCUCCGGCGGUUGUGGAUGGACUCGCGGCCUAUCAGCUUGUUGGUGGGGUAGUGGCCUACCAAGGCGGCGACGGGUAGCCGGCCUGAGAGGGUGACCGGCCACAUUGGGACUGAGAUACGGCCCAGACUCCUACGGGAGGCAGAAGUGGGGAAUAUUGCACAAUGGGCGCAAGCCUGAUGCAGCAACGCCGCGUGCGGGAUGACGGCCUUCGGGUUGUAAACCGCUUUCAGCAGGGACGAAGCUUUUUGUGACGGUACCUGCAGAAGAAGCACCGGCUAACUACGUG
RNAcentral lists this ribosomal RNA (465 nucleotides) under uncultured bacterium. RNAcentral describes it as "partial 16S ribosomal RNA". It matches the Rfam family "Bacterial small subunit ribosomal RNA", at positions 28 to 507 of the family's 1533-position model. The record is from RNAcentral.